CAGUCGCCACGGUAAUACGGAGGGUCCGAGCGUUAAUCGGAAUUACUGGGCGUAAAGCGUGCGCAGGCGGUUUGUUAAGCGAGAUGUGAAAGCCCUGGGCUCAACCUAGGAAUAGCAUUUCGAACUGGCGAACUAGAGUCUUGUAGAGGGGGGUAGAAUUCCAGGUGUAGCGGUGAAAUGCGUAGAGAUCUGGAGGAAUACCGGUGGCGAAGGCGGCCCCCUGGACAAAGACUGACGCUCAUGCACGAAAGCGUGGGGAGCAAACAGGAUUAGAUACCCCAGUAGUUUCUGUCUCUUAUAC
This 301-nucleotide ribosomal RNA is filed under the name uncultured bacterium. RNAcentral's name for it is "partial 16S ribosomal RNA". It matches the Rfam family "Bacterial small subunit ribosomal RNA", at positions 509 to 807 of the family's 1533-position model. The record is from RNAcentral.